UGGAUUCGCUAGUAAUCGCGCAUCAGCCAUGGCGCGGUGAAUACGUUCCCGGGCCUUGUACACACCGCCCGUCAAGCCAUGAAAGCCGGGGGUGCCUGAAGUUCGUGACCGCAAGGAGCGACCUAGGGCAAAACUGGUAAUUGGGGCUAAGUCGUAACAAGGUAGCCGUACCGGAAGGUGUGGCUGGAACACCUCCUUU
This 199-nucleotide ribosomal RNA is filed under the name Bacteroidales bacterium. RNAcentral describes it as "partial 16S ribosomal RNA". It matches the Rfam family "Bacterial small subunit ribosomal RNA", at positions 1327 to 1533 of the family's 1533-position model. Lineage: Bacteria; Pseudomonadati; Bacteroidota; Bacteroidia; Bacteroidales. RNAcentral also lists the same sequence under 1 other name. The record is from RNAcentral.